AGUUAGCUCUUGUAAAUUGACCAGCUCUGUUGUCUGAUUAUUCCACUGAGGAGAACACUUGGUCCUGGUCCUGGUCCUUCGC
Molecule: non-coding RNA, 82 nt
Organism: Ceratotherium simum simum (southern white rhinoceros)
Lineage: Eukaryota; Metazoa; Chordata; Mammalia; Perissodactyla; Rhinocerotidae
Source: RefSeq, a predicted model, not a curated record